UAAACUUUGCCACAGGGUAAAGAUUUCAAGGUGUUCUGAAGCAUUCCGUUAGGUCUUAGGGGAUGUUUUCAGGGCACCUCUUUUUGUU
This 88-nucleotide non-coding RNA is filed under the name unclassified sequences. The record is from RNAcentral.